Molecule: ribosomal RNA, 710 nt
Filed under: Gracillariidae gen. sp. 6 ex Caesalpinia spiaria
Lineage: Eukaryota; Metazoa; Arthropoda; Insecta; Lepidoptera; Gracillariidae
Description: SSU rRNA
Rfam family: Eukaryotic small subunit ribosomal RNA
Source: RNAcentral
CGGGACUCUCACGAGGCCUCGUAAUCGGAAUGAGUACACUUUAAAUAUUUUAACGAGGAACAAUUGGAGGGCAAGUCUGGUGCCAGCAGCCGCGGUAAUUCCAGCUCCAAUAGCGUAUACUAAAUUUGUUGCGGUUAAAAAGCUCGUAGUUGCAUUUGUGCGCCGCGCUGUCGGUGCACCGCAUCCGCGGUGAUACUGACACGUUUGCGGAGCAUAUCGUCGGUGAGCCGCCGGUCAAACGGCGGUUCAAUAUCAAAAUCCUAUCGCGGUGCUCUUCAGUGAGUGUCGAGGUGGGCCGGCAAUUUUACUUUGAACAAAUUAGAGUGCUCAAAGCGGGCUCAAAACGCUGCUUGAAUAUUUCGUGCAUGGAAUAAUAGAAUAUGAUCUCGGUUCUAUUUUGUUGGUUUUCAGAACUCCGAGGUAAUGAUUAAUAGGGAUAACUGGGGGCAUUCGUAUUGCGACGUUAGAGGUGAAAUUCUUGGAUCGUCGCAAGACGAACAUCAGCGAAAGCAUUUGCCAAAGGUGUUUUCAUCAAUCAAGAACGAAAGUUAGAGGUUCGAAGGCGAUUAGAUACCGCCCUAGUUCUAACCGUAAAUAUGUCAUCUAGCGAUCCGCCGACGUUAAUCAAAUGGCUCGGCGGGCAGCUUCCGGGAAACCAAAGAUUUUGGACUCCGGGAGGAGUAUGGUUGCAAAGCUGAAACUUAAAGGAA